Molecule: unclassified non-coding RNA, 310 nt
Filed under: plant metagenome
Description: partial contains 5.8S ribosomal RNA, internal transcribed spacer 2, and large subunit ribosomal RNA
Rfam family: 5.8S ribosomal RNA (bases 1-105)
Source: RNAcentral
GAAAUGCGAUAAGUAGUGUGAAUUGCAGAAUUCAGUGAAUCAUCGAAUCUUUGAACGCACAUUGCGCCCCUUGGUAUUCCAUGGGGCAUGCCUGUUCGAGCGUCAUUUGUACCCUCAAGCUCUGCUUGGUGUUGGGUUUUUGUCCCCGUCUCCGCGCGUGGACUCGCCCCAAAGUGAUUGGCAGCCGGCGUACUGGUCCCGGAGCGCAGCACAUGUCGCGCAAACGAGUGCCUUGGUACGGCGGCGUCCAUAAGCCCCUCUCUCACGCUCUUGACCUCGGAUCAGGUAGGGAUACCCGCUGAACUUAAGC